This 77-nucleotide transfer RNA is filed under the name Orrella sp. RNAcentral's name for it is "tRNA-Val". It matches the Rfam family "tRNA". From Rfam's summary of the family: Transfer RNA (tRNA) molecules are approximately 80 nucleotides in length. Their secondary structure includes four short double-helical elements and three loops (D, anti-codon, and T loops). Further hydrogen bonds mediate the characteristic L-shaped molecular structure. tRNAs have two regions of fundamental functional importance: the anti-codon, which is responsible for specific mRNA codon recognition, and the 3' end, to which the tRNAs corresponding amino acid is attached (by aminoacyl-tRNA synthetases). tRNAs cope with the degeneracy of the genetic code in two manners: having more than one tRNA (with a specific anti-codon) for a particular amino acid; and 'wobble' base-pairing, i.e. permitting non-standard base-pairing at the 3rd anti-codon position. RNAcentral also lists the same sequence under 2 other names. Lineage: Bacteria; Pseudomonadati; Pseudomonadota; Betaproteobacteria; Burkholderiales; Alcaligenaceae. The record is from RNAcentral.
AGGCGGUUAGCUCAGUUGGUUAGAGCGCCACGUUGACAUCGUGGAGGUCGUUGGUUCGACUCCAAUACCGCCUACCA